This 208-nucleotide long non-coding RNA is filed under the name Elaeis guineensis (African oil palm). RNAcentral describes it as "long non-coding RNA (EGUI_LNC019665)". The record is from RNAcentral. Lineage: Eukaryota; Viridiplantae; Streptophyta; Magnoliopsida; Arecales; Arecaceae.
CUCCUUCGAUAAAAAUAUCUUGAGGUUGGUGACAUCUUCAGGCAAAUUAAGGGGGUAAAGGCAGACAUUACAAAGUUGCAAAUGAGAGAGGAUUAAGAGGGGGGCCUCCAUGAGCCUGACUUGAGGGAGCUUCGUCACAAGCUCUCGGUCCACCACUCUUUGCUAAGAUAGCAGAAGAUACUAUGGAGGCAAAAGUCAAUGGUACAGU